CCUACGGGCGACAGCAGUGAGGAAUAUUGGUCAAUGGACGAGAGUCUGAACCAGCCAAGUAGCGUGAAGGAUGACUGCCCUAUGGGUUGUAAACUUCUUUUAUAUGGGAAUAAAACGUUCCACGUGUGGGAUUUUGUAUGUACCAUAUGAAUAAGGAUCGGCUAACUCCGUGCCAGCAGCCGCGGUAAUACGGAGGAUCCGAGCGUUAUCCGGAUUUAUUGGGUUUAAAGGGAGCGUAGGUGGAUUGUUAAGUCAGUUGUGAAAGUUUGCGGCUCAACCGUAAAAUUGCAGUUGAAACUGGCAGUCUUGAGUACAGUAGAGGUGGGCGGAAUUCGUGGUGUAGCGGUGAAAUGCUUAGAUAUCACGAAGAACUCCGAUUGCGAAGGCAGUUCACUGGACUGCAACUGACACUGAGGCUCGAAAGUGUGGGUAUCAAACAGGAUUAGAUACCCCGGUAGUC
This 460-nucleotide ribosomal RNA is filed under the name uncultured bacterium. RNAcentral's name for it is "partial 16S ribosomal RNA". It matches the Rfam family "Bacterial small subunit ribosomal RNA", at positions 338 to 795 of the family's 1533-position model. The record is from RNAcentral.